RNAcentral lists this ribosomal RNA (253 nucleotides) under uncultured bacterium. RNAcentral describes it as "partial 16S ribosomal RNA". It matches the Rfam family "Bacterial small subunit ribosomal RNA", at positions 524 to 776 of the family's 1533-position model. The record is from RNAcentral.
UACGGAGGGUGCAAGCGUUGUUCGGAAUCACUGGGCGUAAAGCGCGUGUAGGCGGUCUCUUAAGUCCGAUGUGAAAGCCCGGGGCUCACCCCCGGAAGUGCAUCGAAUACUGGGAGACUAGAGUACCGGAGAGGAAGGUGGAAUUCCUGGUGUAGCGGUGAAAUGCGUAGAUAUCAGGAAGAACACCCGUGGCGAAGGCGGCUCUCUGGGACGUGACUGACGCUGAGACGCGAAAGCGUGGGGAGCGAACAGG